This 484-nucleotide ribosomal RNA is filed under the name Aestuariibacter sp. Its description in RNAcentral is "partial 23S ribosomal RNA". It matches the Rfam family "Bacterial large subunit ribosomal RNA", at positions 1 to 529 of the family's 2925-position model. Lineage: Bacteria; Pseudomonadati; Pseudomonadota; Gammaproteobacteria; Alteromonadales; Alteromonadaceae. The record is from RNAcentral.
GUUAUAUGGUCAAGUGAAUAAGCGCAUACGGUGGAUGCCUAGGCGGUAGUAGGCGAUGAAGGACGUGGUAAUCUGCGAUAAGCCCCGGCGAGCUGAUAAACAAGCUUUGACCCGAGGAUUUCCGAAUGGGAAAACCCACCCUGCUUGCAGGGUAUCUGCACCUGAAUUCAUAGGGUGUAGAGGCGAACCCGGGGAACUGAAACAUCUAAGUACCCGGAGGAAAAGAAAUCAACCGAGAUUCCCUUAGUAGCGGCGAGCGAACGGGGACCAGCCCUAAACUCUUUAUUAACCUAGCGAAACAGUCUGGAAAGUCUGGCCAUAGUGGGUGAUAGCCCCGUACGCGAAAGGUUCUUAAAGAUUAUUCGAGUAGGACGGCGCACGUGAAACGUUGGCUGAACAUGGGGGGACGAUGCUCCAAGGUUAAAUACUAGCUACCGAGCGAUCGUGAGCCAGUACCGUGUGGGAAAGGCGAAAAGAACCCCUG